GCUCACGGUCUGACCAUUGGAAUCUAUACAGCCUUAAAUUUUUUCGUAAAGUAAACCAUGAAACUGUUGACUGCGACCAUUUCAACUAGUUCUAUUUCCGGAUAGCACUUUAAGCUCCCGUUUUAGUAUAAUAACUAUUUUAAGGGAUUAUAACUUGGACUUCCAAUAUGUCGACAUGGAUAAACAGCCUCAAGUCAACUUUGUUAUGCAGGUUGUUGAGAGCAAUAUGAUGAGGGAAGGCAGGAAAGAGUACCAGUCUUACAGUCUGUAUGUACUCGUUGCAAAAUGGUGUUCGAGCGUUGGCGAAUAAGGAUUUGCUUGCAGCGUUGAAGAACGAUACUAUGCAACAGAAAGGAAGGUUCUCUUAACAUAGAAAGUAAAGAAAUAAUGAAGUUCACACUACAGUUGACAAUCUGGAUGUGUUUUCUUUGUUAUUUGAACAUGAUUUAUUUUAACUAACAUAACAAGUAUGCACUACAAUAAUGAAUAUCUAUAUUAAUAGUAAUGAUAUUCCAUUAAACAUGGAUAUGGAAAAAAUAUUCUUUGACAGUGCAAGAUAAGAUAAAUCCAGACAUAGUCAGAGUCUUCAGUUAACUUGGAUGUGUUCCAUUUGUUUCAUCCACAUACUUGAAAUUUGUCUUGUAACUACAUGUAUUUUUAUGAGGUUAAGUGGUGAGUAAUCAACCUUUAUCAUGACAUUUUCUUAUUAGGGGAUAGUAUGUAUUUAUGUUGACACUAUGUGUACCUUCAUUCUUUUCAUUUUUCUGUAUGAAACAAGACCAAAUGUGUCAUUUUAGUUUAACCAUUUUAAACUGUAUUUAUAAUACUCUUCAUUGAAUAGCCAUUCGUAUAUUAUCAAACAUUUUAACAAAUUUAAAUGUGUUGUUAUUUUGAUUAUAUUGUAUCGGUGUCAUAGGGUACAUGUCCAUUCCUAGCCUUCAAGAUAAAACAGAUAUAUCCUUUGUUGUAAAAUGUGUUCUUUAUGCAUAAACAUAUAGAGUGGCUACAGAGAACUAAACACUUAGCAUUUUUCUUACAAAAUAUCUAAGGGUAGUCCUGCAUGUGAUUGCUACAUUCAGUGUGCCUCAUGUUUUAUAAUACAUUAUAUCAUAUAUGAUCAAUAAAACAG
This is a long non-coding RNA of Mya arenaria, 1129 nucleotides long. RefSeq lists it as uncharacterized. The transcript has 4 exons. The record is from RefSeq and is a predicted model, not a curated record. NCBI's taxonomy places the organism in Eukaryota, Metazoa, Mollusca, Bivalvia, Myida, Myidae.